This 148-nucleotide unclassified non-coding RNA is filed under the name uncultured Mortierella. RNAcentral describes it as "sequence contains ITS1". Lineage: Eukaryota; Fungi; Mortierellomycota; Mortierellomycetes; Mortierellales; Mortierellaceae. The record is from RNAcentral.
UAAUAAAGUGUUAUAUGGCACUUUUUAAAAAUCCAUAUCCACCUUGUGUGCAAUGUUAGAUCUCGUCAAUCUUGGCGAGAUUUUUAUACAUCAACUCAUCUUUUAACUAAUUUGUCUGAAAAAUAUUAUGAAUACUUAAUUCAAAAUA